This is a long non-coding RNA of Carassius gibelio (silver crucian carp), 2293 nucleotides long. RefSeq lists it as uncharacterized. The transcript is spliced from 6 exons. The record is from RefSeq and is a predicted model, not a curated record. NCBI's taxonomy places the organism in Eukaryota, Metazoa, Chordata, Actinopteri, Cypriniformes, Cyprinidae.
CCCAUUCUCACUCCAAAGGCGUCAAAAACCGAAGCAUGGUCAAGCGCCCCUAGCGUCACUUUUAUGACGCCAAAUGUGCCUCUCGGCGUCGACUAUGGAAGCACUACGACCUUCAUUGCUUUCAGUGGGAAACUUUUGGCGUCAGAAUUCGACACGAGGACAUGAGAUGUUUAUCGCUAUGAAAUCACGUUCAAGAAGUCUCAUUCAGCACACAUCGCGCGAUACUUGCUAUCAGUUCCACAGUUUGGCUGAAAAGACGUAAAGGCAGUCAGCCCAGUGGUGUUUCUGGAGAGGGAUUCCUUCAGAAAUGGAGAAGACAGAAAGCUGCGGAGGCAGAUAUUUGCAGCAUGUUCGAGUGAGCAUGAUGACCACGAGUGUGUGUCGAACUUUUCAUGACCUGAUGACUGUGUUUCCCAAUCCUGAUCCUGGAGAACCCCAGCACUGCACGGUUUUGGUGUCUCUCUUAUCUGCCUUGGAGUCUUCACUGAUGAGCUGAUGAGUUGAAUCAGGUGUGUUUGAUCAGGGAGACAUCUCAAAUGUGCAGUGUUGGGGUUCUCCAGGACCAGGAUUGGGAGCCACUGCCUUAUGGGACACUUAUGUGUUUAAAGAGAUUUUUAAUAUCUAAUUAUCAAUAUUUCACAUACUGUACAUUGGACAGCUUUCCAUGACCUCUUGUGAGAUCUCGGCAAAAAGUCUGACGAUUUAUUCCAAAACAUGAUGCAUGAUGGGAUACACUAAGCUUUGUAUAGUGCUCCAGAGCAGUAUUGGAGAGGUUUAGUGUGUGUUAAGGACGCUGUGCUUUGGCAUUAUUAAGACCGGGGACAGUCUUGUGCACACACUGUCACGUACACACACUCUCAAGUGGCCAAGACUGCAAGUGUGGGUAUCUGGACAGGGUCAAAGUCUUAAAAAUGAUCCCUAAACACAUCACAGUCUUAAUAAUCCAGUUUAACACUUGUAUGAUAUUGUACAAGCCCCAGGACUGUCUCAUCUGACACUAUCAAAGAAUUCAUAUGACUAUAGCUUGUUAUUAAUUACUUGCUUUCAAUAAUGGAUUCAUUUAACAUUUAAUUAUACAGCAUCUUUACAGAGGUGUAAUGUACAAGCUGCACGUAAUUAAUAAUAUGUCCUUCCUUCUGUCUUACAGGAUUUUUUCCAGAUAAUGCUGUUCUUCUUUUUCAGGUCUAAAAUAUCGAGCUCAACAGCUAUUUUAAGAGCCAACCCUCACAAACCUUCCUAAAACCUAAAAGAGCUAUUACUGAGUCUCAGCGAAUCUUGCCAUGAUCAGCUCUUCCCAGAAGAGAAGGAAGACCAAGGAUAUGAUUUGCUCAGGAUGAGGAAUGAAGAUGGCCAUCUUGAGCUCAAACAAACAGAAGUCCUCUGAUGAUCUCAUCAGCCAAAUGAGGGGUUUUGACCAAGUGAUGCUCUUGAAAGGAGUGAAAGAAGAGGAUGUGGUAAAUUGUCUUCAGAGAAAAGCUUCUCAAAAGAUCUUAAAACAGCUUGAAGAAUGGUCUGGGAUCUUAGGACUGAGAGAUCAUCUGGCUGAGAACAAGCUACACCUCAUCAGUGCUGGACAUCAACCACAAACUGUUUCCAGACACGAGAGAAGAAGAUCACGAUGGGGAGAUGAAACCAGUUUAGAUGUGAUGAUGGGAAUCAUUAUUUUCUGAAACAGUAUCACAUGUCUAAUAUGUAUCACAUGAUCUGUAUCACAGUUGACUGGAUGGGACUGUGUGACUUUUAAGGACAUUUCAUCACUCAUCUGUGUGAACUGAUUUAUAUAUGAGGUUAAUGUAUCUUUGAUGAUAAUUAUUUUCAUUGAAUCUUAUUUGUCUUGAUGCUACUUUAUCAAGUUUAUAGUCUAUGCUUCAAUAAAAUGAAAAUGGUGAAUAUUGUGUUCUGAAGAUUCUUGGUAAAUACAUAAUUUUACUAGGUAGGCUCAUAUGUGUUUAUUUUAGACUUGGAAAAACGACAUAUUAAUUAUUGGGAUUAUUUUUUUAUUUAAGACAUGAACAUUUUUGAUCGGAUUAAUAACAUCUGGGACAUCAGUACACCAGAAAGUAAUUUUUUUAUAUUUUAGUAACAAAUAUGCACAUUUUUUGUGAAAUACAGGGAGUUACAAGAUUAAUUAUUCUGCAUUACAAGAUGGUGCCAUGGGCUUUAUUGUUACAAACACUUGAGGGAUAACUGAGAAUGUAGCAGGAAUGAUCAACGUGGAUCUUGUACUGCAUUAAAACCAAGAGCACGCACAUUACUGAUGUCCAGCACAUGAGGAGCAAGAUACGGGGGUGAG